AGGGUAUGGGUCUACUUCUUUGAACAUUCGCUCAGAUCGUAAGGUAACCCCAAGAAUCGGCAUCACUCUCUGGUCUGGGCGCCUGGAUAGUCACGCAUGGAGUCCGCGAGGUGCUGGCGCCGGAGCACGCUGGGAACGCCGGGCUCCCGGCCGGCCUGACCCGGAAGGGCUGGCGCAUGGUAACCCCAGCUUCCCUAGCAACCAAGCAGGCGCAAGAAGCAACCAGCCGCGCUAUCCGCUCCCGUUGCUACCGGAAUGCCUCUUCAGGUUAGCGAUUACAGCUGGCAGCAGACGAAGACUGCGGUCUUUCUGUCUCUGCCCCUCAAAGGCGUGUGCGUCAGAGACACGGACGUGUUCUGCACGGAAAACUAUCUGAAGGUCAACUUUCCUCCAUUUUUAUUUGAGGCAUUUCUUUAUGCUCCCAUAGACGAUGAGAGCAGCAAAGCAAAGAUUGGGAAUGACACCAUUGUCUUCACCUUGUAUAAAAAAGAAGCGGCCAUGUGGGAGACCCUUUCUGUGACGGGUGUUGACAAAGAGAUGAUGCAAAGAAUUAGAGAAAAAUCUAUUUUACAAGCACAAGAGAGAGCAAAAGAAGCUACAGAAGCAAAAGCUGCAGCAAAGCGGGAAGAUCAAAAAUACGCACUAAGUGUCAUGAUGAAGAUUGAAGAAGAAGAGAGGAAAAAAAUAGAAGAUAUGAAAGAAAAUGAACGGAUAAAAGCCACUAAAGCAUUGGAAGCCUGGAAAGAAUAUCAAAGAAAAGCUGAGGAGCAAAAAAAAAUUCAGAGAGAAGAGAAAUUAUGUCAAAAAGAAAAGCAAAUUAAAGAAGAAAGAAAAAAAAUAAAAUAUAAGAGUCUUACUAGAAAUUUGGCAUCUAGAAAUCUUGCUCCAAAAGGGAGAAAUUCAGAAAAUAUAUUUACUGAGAAGUUAAAGGAAGACAGUAUUCCUGCUCCUCGCUCUGUUGGCAGUAUUAAAAUCAACUUUACCCCUCGAGUAUUCCCAACAGCUCUUCGUGAAUCACAAGUAGCAGAAGAGGAGGAGUGGCUACACAAACAAGCUGAGGCACGAAGAGCAAUGAAUACUGACAUAGCUGAACUUUGCGAUUUAAAAGAAGAAGAAAAGAACCCAGAAUGGUUGAAGGAUAAAGGAAACAAAUUGUUUGCAACGGAAAACUAUUUGGCAGCUAUCAAUGCAUAUAAUUUAGCCAUAAGACUAAAUAAUAAGAUGCCACUAUUGUAUUUGAACCGGGCUGCUUGCCACCUAAAACUAAAAAACUUACACAAGGCUAUUGAAGAUUCUUCUAAGGCACUGGAAUUAUUGAUGCCACCUGUUACAGACAAUGCUAAUGCAAGAAUGAAGGCACAUGUACGACGUGGAACAGCAUUCUGUCAACUAGAAUUGUAUGUAGAAGACCUGAAAGAUGUCUGAAAAUUCCAGUGACAGUGAUUCAUCUUGUGGUUGGACUGUCAUCAGUCAUGAGGGGUCAGAUAUAGAAAUGUUGAAUUCUGUGACCCCCACUGACAGCUGUGAGCCCGCCCCAGAAUGUUCAUCUUUAGAGCAAGAGGAGCUUCAAGCAUUGCAGAUAGAGCAAGGAGAAAGCAGCCAAAAUGGCACAGUGCUUAUGGAAGAAACUGCUUAUCCAGCUUUGGAGGAAACCAGCUCAACAAUUGAGGCAGAGGAACAAAAGAUACCCGAAGACAGUAUCUAUAUUGGAACUGCCAGUGAUGAUUCUGAUAUUGUUACCCUUGAGCCACCUAAGUUAGAAGAAAUUGGAAAUCAAGAAGUUGUCAUUGUUGAAGAAGCACAGAGUUCAGAAGACUUUAACAUGGGCUCUUCCUCUAGCAGCCAGUAUACUUUCUGUCAGCCAGAAACUGUAUUUUCAUCUCAGCCUAGUGACGAUGAAUCAAGUAGUGAUGAAACCAGUAAUCAGCCCAGUCCUGCCUUUAGACGACGCCGUGCUAGGAAGAAGACCGUUUCUGCUUCAGAAUCUGAAGACCGGCUAGUUGCUGAACAAGAAACUGAACCUUCUAAGGAGUUGAGUAAACGUCAGUUCAGUAGUGGUCUCAAUAAGUGUGUUAUACUUGCUUUGGUGAUUGCAAUCAGCAUGGGAUUUGGCCAUUUCUAUGGCACAAUUCAGAUUCAGAAGCGUCAACAGUUAGUCAGAAAGAUACAUGAAGAUGAAUUGAAUGAUAUGAAGGAUUAUCUUUCCCAGUGUCAACAGGAACAAGAAUCUUUUAUAGAUUAUAAGUCAUUGAAAGAAAAUCUUGCAAGGUGUUGGACACUUACUGAAGCAGAGAAGAUGUCCUUUGAAACUCAGAAAACGAACCUUGCUACAGAAAAUCAGUAUUUAAGAGUAUCCUUGGAGAAGGAAGAAAAAGCCUUAUCCUCAUUACAGGAAGAGUUAAACAAACUAAGAGAACAGAUUAGAAUAUUGGAAGAUAAAGGGACAAGUACUGAAUUAGUUAAAGAAAAUCAGAAACUUAAGCAGCAUUUGGAAGAGGAAAAGCAGAAAAAACACAGCUUUCUUAGUCAAAGGGAGACUCUGUUGACAGAAGCAAAGAUGCUAAAGAGAGAACUGGAGAGAGAACGACUAGUAACUACGGCUUUAAGGGGGGAACUCCAGCAGUUAAGUGGUAGUCAGUUACAUGGCAAGUCAGAUUCUCCCAAUGUAUAUACUGAAAAAAAGGAAAUAGCAAUCUUACGGGAAAGACUCACUGAGCUGGAACGGAAGCUAACCUUCGAACAGCAGCGUUCUGAUUUGUGGGAAAGAUUGUAUGUUGAGGCAAAAGAUCAAAAUGGAAAACAAGGAACAGAUGGAAAAAAGAAAGGGGGCAGAGGAAGCCACAGGGCUAAAAAUAAGUCAAAGGAAACAUUUUUGGGUUCAGUUAAGGAAACAUUUGAUGCCAUGAAGAAUUCUACCAAGGAGUUUGUAAGGCAUCAUAAAGAGAAAAUUAAGCAGGCUAAAGAAGCUGUGAAGGAAAAUCUGAAAAAAUUCUCAGAUUCAGUUAAAUCCACUUUCAGACACUUUAAAGAUACCACCAAGAAUAUCUUUGAUGAAAAGGGUAAUAAAAGAUUUGGUGCUACAAAAGAAGCAGCUGAAAAACCAAGAACAGUUUUUAGUGACUAUUUACAUCCACAGUAUAAGGCACCUACAGAAAACCAUCAUAAUAGAGGCCCUACUAUGCAAAAUGAUGGAAGGAAAGAAAAGCCAGUUCACUUUAAAGAAUUCAGAAAAAAUACAAAUUCAAAGAAAUGCAGUCCUGGGCAUGAUUGUAGAGAAAAUUCUCAUUCUUUCAGAAAGGCUUGUUCUGGUGUAUUUGAUUGUGCUCAACAAGAGUCCAUGAGCCUUUUUAACACAGUGGUGAAUCCUAUAAGGAUGGAUGAAUUUAGACAGAUAAUUCAAAGGUACAUGUUAAAAGAACUGGAUACUUUUUGUCACUGGAACGAACUUGAUCAGUUCAUCAAUAAGUUUUUCCUAAACGGUGUCUUUAUACAUGAUCAGAAGCUCUUCACUGACUUUGUUAAUGAUGUUAAAGAUUAUCUUAGAAACAUGAAGGAAUAUGAAGUAGAUAAUGAUGGAGUAUUUGAGAAGUUGGAUGAAUAUAUAUAUAGACACUUCUUUGGUCACACUUUUUCCCCUCCAUAUGGACCCAGUCGACCUGAUAAAAAGCAACGUAUGGUAAAUAUUGAAAACUCCAGGCAUCGAAAACAAGAGCAGAAGCACCUUCAGCCACAGCCUUAUAAAAGGGAAGGUAAAUGGCAUAAAUAUGGUCGCACUAAUGGAAGACAAAUGGCAAAUCUUGAAAUAGAAUUGGGGCAAUUACCUUUUGAUCCUCAAUACUGAUUCACAAUUGAGUUAAAUUAGACAACUGUAAGAGAAAAAUUUAUGCUUUGUAUAAUGUUUGGUAUUGAAACUAAUGAAAUUACCAAGAUGACAAUGUCUUUUCUUUUGUUUCUAAGUAUCAGUUUGAUAACUUUAUAUUAUUCCUCAGAAGCAUUAGUUAAAAGUCUACUAACCUGCAUUUUCCUGUAGUUUAGCUUCGUUGAAUUUUUUUUGACACUGGAAAUGUUCAACUGUAGUUUUAUUAAGGAAGCCAGGCAUGCAACAGAUUUUGUGCAUGAAAUGAGACUUCCUUUCAGUGUAAGAGCUUAAAGCAAGCUCAGUCAUACAUGACAAAGUGUAAUUAACACUGAUGUUUGUGUUAAAUUUGCAGCAGAGCUUGAGAAAAGUACAUUGUUCUGGAAUUUCAUCAUUAACAUUUUAUAAUCUUACACUCACUUCUUGUCUUUUUGUGGGUUCAAGAGCCCUCUGACUUGUGAAGAAUUUGCUGCCCUCUUAAGAGCUUGCUGACUUGUUUUCUUGUGAAAUUUUUUGCACAUCUGAAUAUCGUGGAAGAAACAAUAAAACUACACCAUGAGGAAAACUAAAGGUCUUUAUUUAAAAUCUGGCAUUGUAUUAACAUGUAAUUUUAUACUAUGUGGUAUUUUAUACAUUUCCUCAGUAGUGAUAUUUGGUAAAGCAGUUCAUACAGCUUUUUUCUAAGUUCCAUGAAUCUUACCCAGUGUUUACCGAAGUAUUUAAGCAGCAUCUGAAUAUUUCCACCCAGCAAUGUUAAUUUAUCUAGGAAAGUUCAGAAUUUCAUCUUCAUGUUGAAUUUCCCUUUUAACUUCCGUUCAUAGACAUAUAUGUGACUUCCAAUUCGACCCUCUGGCAAGUGAGUGUGGAAGAAAACAGCAGUUCUUUUAUAAUUGCUUGAAAUUAGGAAAGCGCUUAUUUCCUAGAAGCAAAUAAAUGUUUAAGUAAAUAAAGGCUACAUUUUGCUGAGUACUGUUUCAGUCAA
This 4838-nucleotide long non-coding RNA is filed under the name Homo sapiens (human). RNAcentral describes it as "non-protein coding lnc-DNAAF4-2:2". The record is from RNAcentral. Lineage: Eukaryota; Metazoa; Chordata; Mammalia; Primates; Hominidae.